Oncorhynchus tshawytscha (Chinook salmon) is the source of this 619-nucleotide long non-coding RNA. The record is from Ensembl. NCBI's taxonomy places the organism in Eukaryota, Metazoa, Chordata, Actinopteri, Salmoniformes, Salmonidae.
UCAACUUUAAUUUGAGGGUGUUUUCAUCUACAUGUACCAGUCAAAAUUCAAGGGUUUUUCUUUAUUUUGACUAUUUUCUACAUUGUAGAACAAUAGUGAAGACAUCAACACUAUGAAAUAACACAUGUUAAAUUAAGACAUUCUCUCAACCAACUCUAUGAGGUAGUCACUCUUGGCAUUCUCUCAGCCAGCUCCAUGAGGUAGUCACUCUUGGCAUUCUCUCAGCCAGUUCCAUGAGGUAGUCACCCUUGGCAUUCUCUCAGCCAGCUCUAUGAGGUAGUCACUCUUGGCAUUCUCUCAGCCAACUUCAUGAGGUAGUCACUCUUGGCAUUCUCUCAGCCAACUUCAUGAGGUAGUCACUCUUGGCAUUCUCUCAGCCAGCUCUAUGAGGUAGUCUCUCUUGGCAUUCUCUCAGCCAGCUUCAUGAGGUAGUCACUCUUGGCAUUCUCUCAGCCAGCUCUAUGAGGUAGUCACUCUUGGCAUUCUCUCAGCCAGCUUCAUGAGGUAGUCACUCUUGGCAUUCUCUCAGCCAGCUCUAUGAGGUAGUCUCUCUUGGCAAGACUUUGGCAAAAGAAAAGUAGAGCAAAAGUUGUAAAUUAUCACUGGUUUCUUGUCGGAG